Molecule: long non-coding RNA, 3286 nt
Organism: Acanthochromis polyacanthus (spiny chromis)
Lineage: Eukaryota; Metazoa; Chordata; Actinopteri; Pomacentridae
Exons: 4
Source: RefSeq, a predicted model, not a curated record
UCCUGUACCUCAGCAGCAGAAUAUUGUUUUAAUUUGAGUCAAUUCUCAGCUGCAAACUGAGGUUUAUCAAUCUUAUAUGAAUAAAUAUCAGGUAACAUUUGAAACAGUGUGAACAGACUUUACAAAAGCCUUAAAUAAAUGACAAGAGAUUCUCCAUUGGUAAAUAGACAAUGGGCUGUGCAGUUUGUGGUCAGCCGCUUUUCGUUUGACGAAAUGAUAAAAUUUUACAAUUUUAUACAAUGUUUAUUGAGAACAAAUCCAGCAUGAAACUGUCUAUUGUCUGUGAAUUUGCCAAUAAGCGCCCUCAAGAACUGUAGUUCACCUCAAGGAUCUGCUUGAAGUGGUGUCUUUGUCAUCCAAUGUUGAGUUCCGAUAAUUAUGAUUUUGACUGGCAUUUCAAUGUCACAAUAUUUGAGAUCUACCAAUAAGUGCACUUCAACGCGAUUUUGCUUCUUGACUUAAAACUGCACCUCCUAUUUGAUUUCACUUCAAGCUCCAAUCUGUCAUCACAAUUGAAUAGGAGGUGAACAGGAACUUGUUUGUCUGUCAUUUUAAUCACUAAAUUUUUUUUAGCACAACAGUGAACACAUAGUCCUGACAGUGAAGCACAGAAGUGGGAGUGUGAUUAUGGGGUUGCAUAAAUGCUAACGUGUGAGAGAGACAAGGUUUAUUGAUAGCUUCAGUGGUUGUAUUUUUUAAAGUGUGAUUAUUUGCUGAAUUUAUUGUUGCCUUUUAUUCUGAUCUUUAGUUUUUAGACUGUUGUACAGUCCAGUGAUCUGAAAUUUUCAAAUAGUUACCGGGAAAGUUGGAACGCACAUUUUCUCUAUUUUCUGACAUCAUUAAUUGAAGCUCUGUUAUCCACACUGAACUCAUAUUUUUUUAUAUAUAUAUAAAUGAUGUGUUAUCAUGAAACAGAUCAUGUCCAAGAAAUACACUCCAGCCUGUAUCUUUUUCCAUUAUUCAUUAGCGUGCCUGUAAACACUAUAGAAAGCACUAAAGAUGUUUAUUGCUCUGUCUACAGCUCUUUGUUCCUUGUUCCUUGUUUGUUCCAUACUGUAAUUACAAGUCCUGUGACUCAGAAGACACCUUCAAAGAUUGAGUCUGAGUGGCCAGAAUGUGCAGAAUGUGUCUGCUGACGACAACUGCAGUGUACAGGUGACACGAGAGAAAAUACAGAUGCACCAAGAGUGUGGAAAGGUCAACCUGCGGUCAGCCUCCAGAACUAUACGACCCCAGAGUUCACAGGUCAUCAGCUCCUGAGGAUGAGAGGCUCUAAGAUGUAACAUCAUUACGAGCUGUUUCAUCGAUACAACUUGACAACCCUGAAUUCAAAGAUGCAGAAUUAAGCUGAAUUGAAGAGGACGGGACCCAUGCUGUGCCUUCAGACAGUGAGCAAGGCAGCCUCUGGAUCCCUGGGACGACACUCCACCCACAAAGAGAGGCGAUGGGGAAAACAGCAAGCAGAAACAAAAUACUUCACACACCCCUCUCCCCGAGAGGUGCCAGAUCUUUAUUUCACUCCUUUCUCUCUGCUUUUUCUGUCUCAGUGCCCACAAAGUGAUUGGAAAGCACACGACAAUCUGUUUUUGUUGACGUUCGAUGGCGCGUGAUAAUGUGGUCAUUAUCACCGCAAAAGGAACAGGUUGAGGCUCGGACAGGGUUUCAUUGGGGGCCUUUAGAGCGCACACAUACACCAACACACACAUGCACUUGCAGUGUGGGAAAAGAAUGCUUCUAAAGGAGGGGACAGCUGUUUGGGUGGCUUGUAGAGAAUGGUGAUCAUGUUAAAGGGAAGAUGGCCUACUGUAAACUCCACCUGUGCAUAUGGCCAUGCCUGAGGCUGUGGGGGGGAAAGCAGAAGCCAGGAGCCUCUCAUUUUGUUCUGUCCACUGAGAGGUGUGUAUUAGUGUGCGGGGCCUUACCAUUAGUACGUUUUAGCCAGUAAAAUCUGCAGAAAAAUCCACAUUCUUAACAUGACCUGCACUCUUGCCUAGUGUGUUGUAAUUUUUGAAAAAAAAAAAAAAAGUCGACUUAAACAUGCUGAAUGUGUGAAGUGUAAGCUUUCUAAUGGAGUGAACUGUUUGUCUUUGAUUAUGCACACUAUCAAUCACAUGAUGUAAAUGGUGGGUUGGUGUGUGUGAACCGAGUCUGACCGGAUGAGGGAUGUGAUUAACUCUUCUGUCUUUGUGUGUCCAGCUGACUUGAUUGAGGCCGGUCACAGAACAAGAGAGGCGAAGGAAGGGCAGGGAAGCAGUUAAUACCAAACAAAUGAAGGAAAUGGAUUAAAUCCCGCUGUUUUAUUAAAUUUGAAAUUCAAAUGAAAUGCUCGCUCCGUGCUUUUGCUCAUAAAUUAAGAGCCUGAAGCUCAUUCUGGGUCAUUUCCAGACUGUGCGUCAUCAUAUUGGUUAAGCAUCUCUGAUGUAAGAAUAGGAUUAACCCAUUCAAGCGAUGGAAGUUUGAGACUGAGCUUGGCCAAAUGUUUAAAUGAUGUAUAUAACUGAGCAAAGCACAGGAGGUGUUUUUUGUUUUUGUUUUAAAGGGCAAUUUGUUUUGUGUUGAAUGAGAUGAAAUUGCGGAGGCAGUGGAGGUCUCCUUCCUUCCCUCCCCCAGGGCUGAAUGGAAACGCCCAGGGGACAGGAUGGGACGGGCCUGACCUGCCUCUCAUUCAUCAGCCUUUCCCCCUGCCUUGCCCCAUAAUAUCAGUGAAAACAUCAGGUUAGCUCACACUACACUUUUCUGUCUGACACGACCAACCAGGCUGCAUUAAAAAUUCAAGACCCUAAGGUGUUUAAAAUGCACUAAAACUCACUGACCAAAUUGUCCGGCAACACAAAGUCAUUUAAUGCAGGUGCUGGUGCUGUUGAAUUUUUCAAAUGCAGCCUUUUUCUUAAUCAAAUUAUACAUAUUUUCAAACAUAUUUAAACUGAAUUAUUAAUGGGGUCAAUAGUUGUUAAUAAAAACAUUUUACAGACCAAAUAAUGGAGUUCACAAACCUAGUAACAGAACUCUAAGGAGCACCACUUGUUGGACUUGCAAUACAAACAUGGCCAAGCAGUAUGAAGUACACUGUAAAAACAAAUCUGUUGGGAAAAAAAAAGAAAAAGGGUGAAAAUCUGGCAACAAAUACAGCAGAAAACAUAUGCUUGUAACAAGAUGUGGAAUAAUGAAAGGUUUCAAAAUUGUGAAAGUAAUGGCAAAUAUCUGAUUUAACAAAAUGGGAAAAUCUCCAGAAUAAUAGUCAAAAAAAUAAUUAGUCAUUCUUCAAUUGUUAAUGUACAAACUUUUC